This 433-nucleotide ribosomal RNA is filed under the name uncultured bacterium. RNAcentral's name for it is "bacterial SSU rRNA". It matches the Rfam family "Bacterial small subunit ribosomal RNA", at positions 355 to 786 of the family's 1533-position model. The record is from RNAcentral.
UGAGGAAUAUUGGUCAAUGGGCGGAAGCCUGAACCAGCCAAGUCGCGUGAGGGAUGACGGUCCUAUGGAUUGUAAACCUCUUUUGCCGGGGAGCAAAGCUCACCUUGCGAGGCGAGCCGGAGAGUACCCGGAGAAAAAGCAUCGGCUAACUCCGUGCCAGCAGCCGCGGUAAUACGGAGGAUGCGAGCGUUAUCCGGAUUUAUUGGGUUUAAAGGGUGCGUAGGCGGGGAGGUAAGUCAGCGAUAAAAUUUCGGUGCUUAACGCCGGACCGCCGUUGAAACUGCCCUCUUGAGUGGGCGAGAAGUAUGCGGAAUGCGUGGUGUAGCGGUGAAAUGCAUAGAUAUCACGCAGAACUCCGAUUGCGAAGGCAGCAUACCGGCGCCCAACUGACGCUGAGGCACGAAAGCGUGGGUAUCGAACAGGAUUAGAUACC